UACGUAGGGUGCAAGCGUUAAUCGGAAUUACUGGGCGUAAAGCGUGCGCAGGCGGCUUUGCAAGACAGAUGUGAAAUCCCCGGGCUUAACCUGGGAACUGCAUUUGUGACUGCAUGGCUGGAGUGCGGCAGAGGGGGAUGGAAUUCCGCGUGUAGCAGUGAAAUGCGUAGAUAUGCGGAGGAACACCGAUGGCGAAGGCAGCCCCCUGGGUUAACACUGACGCUCAGGCACGAAAGCGUGGGGAGCAAACAGG
Molecule: ribosomal RNA, 253 nt
Filed under: uncultured bacterium
Lineage: Bacteria
Description: partial 16S ribosomal RNA
Rfam family: Bacterial small subunit ribosomal RNA
Source: RNAcentral